This 524-nucleotide ribosomal RNA is filed under the name uncultured Bacteroidota bacterium. RNAcentral's name for it is "bacterial SSU rRNA". It matches the Rfam family "Bacterial small subunit ribosomal RNA", at positions 340 to 864 of the family's 1533-position model. The record is from RNAcentral. Lineage: Bacteria; Pseudomonadati; Bacteroidota.
UACCGGAGGCGGCAGUACGGUAUAGAAGACAACGCAGGCAACUCUAAUCCAGCCAUGCCGACGUGCAGGAUGAAGGCCUUAAGGGUUGUAAAUUGCUUUUGACAGGGAAGAACCCCCUCCUUUGAAGGGGGGCGGACGGUACCUAAGGAAUAAGCCCCGGCUAACUUCGUGCCAGCAGCCGCGGUAAUACGGAGGGUGCAAGCGUUGUUCGGAAUCACUGGGUAUAAAGGGUGGGUGGGCGGUUCAGUAAGUCAGGGGUGAAAGGCUCCCGAUCAACGGGAGGCCUGCCUUAGAUACUGCCUGUGCUUGAGUCAGAGGGAGGGCAGCGGAACGUGGCAUGUAGCGGUGAAAUGCAUAGAUAUGGGAAAGAACACCGGUUGCGAAGGCAGCUGUCUGGACCAUGACUGACGGUGAGGCACGAAAGCGUGGGGAGCAAACAGGAUUAGAUACCCUGGUAGUCCACGCCCUAAACUAUGUUCACUAGGUUGGGGCGGACCGUUCAGUGUCGCAGCUAACGCGUUAAG